GGCUCCGUGAGGAUCCGGAGUUCAGGAGCGCUCUGGAUGCUCUGAGCUCCUGGGGCUGGUUCUGGAGCCAGCAGGGGCUG
This is a non-coding RNA of Turdus rufiventris (rufous-bellied thrush), 80 nucleotides long. The record is from the annotation of a GenBank genome assembly. NCBI's taxonomy places the organism in Eukaryota, Metazoa, Chordata, Aves, Passeriformes, Turdidae.